GCUUUAUGCUUUAGUGGCGAACGGGUGCGUAAUACGUGAGAAUCUGCCCUUAGGAGGAGAAUAACUUCUGGAAACGGUUGCUAAGUCUCCAUAUGCCGAGAGGUAAAAUAGUUUACACUGCCUAGGGAUGAGCUCACGCCUGAUUAGCUUGUUGGUAAGGUAAUGGCUUACCAAGGCCACGAUCAGUAGCUGGUUUGAGAGAACGAUCAGCCACACUGGGACUGAGACACGGCCCAGACUCCUCCGGGAGGCAGCAGUGAGGAAUUUUCCGCAAUGGGCGAAAGCCUGACGGAGCAAUACCGCGUGAGGGAUGAAGGAUUUUGGUCUGUAAACCUCUUUUCUCAAGAAAGAAGUUCUGACGGUACUUGAGGAAUAAGCAUCGGCUAACUCCGUGCCAGCAGCCGCGGUAAUACGGGGGAUGCAAGCGUUAUCCGGAUUUAUUGGGCGUAAAGCGCCUGUAGGUUGUUUAAUAAGUCUGUUGUUAAAGACUAGGGCUUAACCCUA
RNAcentral lists this ribosomal RNA (504 nucleotides) under uncultured Emiliania. RNAcentral's name for it is "bacterial SSU rRNA". It matches the Rfam family "Bacterial small subunit ribosomal RNA", at positions 82 to 617 of the family's 1533-position model. Lineage: Eukaryota; Haptophyta; Isochrysidales; Noelaerhabdaceae. The record is from RNAcentral.